ACGUCAAAUCAUCAUGCCCCUUAUGUCUUGGGCUACACACGUGCUACAAUGGCGGACACAGCGUGAAGCGAGGCAGUGAUGCGGAGCGGAACACGAAAGGCCGUCCCAGUUCGGAUUGCAGGCUGCAACCCGCCUGCAUGAAGUUGGAAUCGCUAGUAAUCGCGGAUCAGCAUGCCGCGGUGAAUACGUUCCCGGGCCUU
This 200-nucleotide ribosomal RNA is filed under the name uncultured prokaryote. RNAcentral's name for it is "partial 16S ribosomal RNA". It matches the Rfam family "Bacterial small subunit ribosomal RNA", at positions 1182 to 1382 of the family's 1533-position model. The record is from RNAcentral.